GUUUGAUCAUGGCUGAGGAUGAACGCUGGCGGCGUGCUUAACACAUGCAAGUCGAACGAUGAUCCCAGCUUGCUGGGGGAUUAGUGGCGAACGGGUGAGUAACACGUGAGUAACCUGCCCUUGACUCUGGGAUAAGCCUGGGAAACUGGGUCUAAUACCGGAUACGACCAUCUGGCGCAUGUCAUGGUGGUGGAAAGCUUUUGUGGUUUUGGAUGGACUCGCGGCCUAUCAGCUUGUUGGUGGGGUAAUGGCCUACCAAGGCGACGACGGGUAGCCGGCCUGAGAGGGUGACCGGCCACACUGGGACUGAGACACGGCCCAGACUCCUACGGGAGGCAGCAGUGGGGAAUAUUGCACAAUGGGCGCAAGCCUGAUGCAGCGACGCCGCGUGAGGGAUGACGGCCUUCGGGUUGUAAACCUCUUUCAGUAGGGAAGAAGCGAAAGUGACGGUACCUGCAGAAGAAGCGCCGGCUAACUACGUGCCAGCAGCCGCGGUAAUACGUAGGGCGCAAGCGUUAUCCGGAAUUAUUGGGCGUAAAGAGCUCGUAGGCGGUUUGUCGCGUCUGCUGUGAAAGACCGGGGCUCAACUCCGGUUCUGCAGUGGGUACGGGCAGACUAGAGUGCAGUAGG
RNAcentral lists this ribosomal RNA (630 nucleotides) under bacterium TN60A. RNAcentral's name for it is "bacterial SSU rRNA". It matches the Rfam family "Bacterial small subunit ribosomal RNA", at positions 11 to 655 of the family's 1533-position model. RNAcentral also lists the same sequence under 1 other name. The record is from RNAcentral.